AUGCUUCUCUUAAGGAGUCUUCAGACACCCUGGAAAAGGCAACUGUUUCAACUGUUGAGGUCCAGUUACCCAGCACCGAACUUAGUAGAGUUCCCAGAGAGAGCCAACCAAUACCAGCUCUCUGUCUCUCCAAUCUGGAUACCAGUACUCAAGAAGUUCUUAGCAGUGUUUUUUCCAUCUACAAGUCAGUUAUCAAAAGUGGAGAGUAAAUCCUUGGCCGUUGUCAGUUCAUCUGAUGAGUCCCUUGAGGCUUGUUGGUUUGUUGAUGGUGUCCUAUCAAAGCUUGAUGACUAUUCUAUUUCCCAGUCACCCUCACCCAAUGAAGACUUGAGCGUGAGUACUCAAUAUUCUCAACUGAGCUCAGAAGAGAGUGUCAGAAUCACAGAGUCCUCAACUAGUCUGAUUCAGAGCAUUAAGAAGCUCUCUAGCAAUGACUUUCAGACUCAGGCAGAAGAGGCAGUGAGUAAAGUGCUGAUGAGAUCCAGUCAUUCCUUUAUCACACAGAUCAGCCAUACUGGUCUUCAGAAAAGUCUGCAGGCUGGCUUAUCAUCUAGCUCACCAUCUGAGAUCCAUGUCCUUUCAGAAUCCAUGUCCUCUGAGAAUACAGCCUCUGGAUUAGUGGAAACCUUUGUCAAAGGAAUGGCGACUAUUUUCCAGAAAAAUGAGUCCACUGACACUGUGCUACUGGAAAGAAGUGGGAGAGUUUCGCAGUGCUCCCACGGGGGCUCCCAACUGGAUGAUACUGAAUUGAGUGUUAAAAUAUCAGAGGAGAAGCUAUGGUCAACAGCUAAGACCAUCUGCGUCAGUAUGAAGAACACACUUAAGGAUUUCUUCACAGGGCUGAAGCCAUCCGGAUCCGAAAGGACAGAAAAGGCUUCUUCCAAAGCGACCCUUGGGGAAAUCCUGGUUGCUAUCCAGAGUGAAGUCUCAAACUUCGGGCGAAUGAAGGAUUCCAGGGAGCUCCUUCAGAUCAAUGAUAUGGUAGGAACUAUGCUGAAGGAGAUUGAGAAAAGUGAGGAUGACAGUGAACAAGUCUGCCAAGACAUCCCUAGAACAUGUUCAUCUUUGUCCACUUCUUUAAAUGGCCGUAGUUCCUUGUCCAGCUCUUCAAAUGGUCCUAGGUCAGAGUGUGAGUUAGAGAUCAACCUCCCUGGCACUCCCAUCCCUGACAAAGUGCCUUUUGAUCUGACCUGCCCCAUCGUCAGGAGCUCCUGCAUCGACACCAGGGUCUCUAAAAUGCCAGAGAUUUCUUCAAGUGACCUAAAGACAAAGAUGAUGGCACACACAGAUGACCCCCAGCAUCGUAACAGUCCAAUGACUGACAGCAGCCGACCACCGAGUGCUAAAGCCUCUUUUCGAUCCUCCACUCCGUCUUUCACCAGCAAGCGAACAACUUUGGUACCAAAGGGAGAUGGGAUUGACAUUGAAGAGAAUGAGGUGUGUAUCCCCAGCAGCUCUGGCCAUCUGAGGGAGCUCUUAAUCACCCCGGACAUCAGCAUUCCCACUGCAUUCCCACUGCAGUACUUGAUGGACUCCAGCAAAGAUGAUGGCAUCUGUUUUGUCACCAUACUGGUGAUAAGGUUGCUAUCGGAGAUCAGACCCUCAGCCCUAGAUAGACCCUCCCAACAGGCAGCAGAUCUGACAGAAACAUCUCAGCAACUCAUCAGACAAGUCCUGUCUGAGUUCUAUGCUGCAUCCAGAUUCACCAGGACACAGGCUUAUUCCCAGAACCUGAACAUCCAAAGGGUGUUCAGAGGUGUACAUAAAAACCUCAUGGAGGAGUUUGGCUCUUAUAACACCCUGCAAGCAGCUAUUUCCUCCCAGGACCCUGCAUUUGACCGAGUCCUGGUAAAGUCCUUGACCCAGCAGCUGGUACAGGGAUACAAGGAGGCGUCAAGACCAGCUUCUGCUGCAAGAAACCCAUCAGACCAGGCUGAGACAGAGAGGGGGGCUGAGCAGAAAGCAAGAAGGAGCUUCCUUUGCUUUUCAAUGACCAAACUCAGGAUCAACUUCAAGCGUUCCAAGAGAGGAAACAAAAAGGACUGCCAUUCAGUCCAGGACCAGACUGAGAUUCCCUCUACUGAUGGACAUUGCAUAGGUAAGGAUGUUUUAGAGCUCUGCUAUAGCUUGUAGUUUUGUUUAGGUGUGUGUUAGAAACAUAGGAAUGCCUACCAAACUCAUAGCACUGUUAUUUUUCAACGUUACUAUACUGCAUCUCUCUCUCUCUCUCUCUCUUACCCCAUCCAUUUCUCUUGUGUUUCUAGCUCCAGUUGGAGAGGGUUCUCCCUCCAUAUCUCAGCCUGUCAAAAAAACGAUCCUUGAUUGUCAGGGUCUUUUCAGCAAUGAUGAAGCCAUUCAGGCGCUUCACAAAGAAGAACCUUAACCUGUUACGCUGCAUGAAGAACUACUUUUGUAACAGCAAGACUUUUGACAAGAGGAAUUUCUGCAUGUCUAACCUUUCAAAGUCUAUUGAUCAAAUAAAUG
Molecule: long non-coding RNA, 2484 nt
Filed under: Oncorhynchus mykiss (rainbow trout)
Lineage: Eukaryota; Metazoa; Chordata; Actinopteri; Salmoniformes; Salmonidae
Description: lncRNA (ENSOMYG00000051461.1)
Source: RNAcentral